This 203-nucleotide ribosomal RNA is filed under the name uncultured bacterium. Its description in RNAcentral is "partial 16S ribosomal RNA". It matches the Rfam family "Bacterial small subunit ribosomal RNA", at positions 524 to 725 of the family's 1533-position model. The record is from RNAcentral.
UACGUAGGGUGCAAGCGUUGUCCGGAAUUAUUGGGCGUAAAGAGCUCGUAGGCGGUUCGUCGCGUCGGCUGUGAAAACCCGGAGCUCAACUCCGGGCCUGCAGUCGAUACGGGCGGACUCGAGUUCGGCAGGGGAGACUGGAAUUCCUGGUGUAGCGGUGAAAUGCGCAGAUAUCAGGAGGAACACCGGUGGCGAAGGGCGGG